UAAAAGUGAAGAAAUGGAGACAUUAUACCACAUAGUGGUUAGAUGGCAGGAGCAUUUUAAUGUUUUUUUGUAUUUUUCUGCUAUUGACUGACAUUUUGAAGAACAGAGUGCCAAAAAACUUUCCUCCCGGACCGUGGGCUCUUCCUUUUUUCGGCGAUGUUCAUCGCAUCAGACCUGACAGAAUUCACCUGCAGUUUAGAGAAUUUGCAGAGAAGUAUGGAAAAAUUUUCACCCUUCGACUCUUUGGUCAAAGAACUGUGGUCAUUAAUAGCUACAAGUUUGUGAAAGAAGCCCUGGUCCAGCGAGGAGAAGACUUCAUAGAUCGUCCCAGCAUACCAUCAUUUAUAGAUUUAUUUGGGAAUAAAGGUCUUGUGCGUUCAAAUGGUUAUCUGUGGAAGGAGCAGAGAAGUCACCAUCUGGAUUUUUAAGAUUGAAAGUUAGACACAGGGAGCAAUGAAUUACUGUCGGCUAAGCCUCAUCUCCACUAAUGGCACCAUGAUCCUGGCUACCCUGGACUCAGUCCUACGUGAAUAAGUCAGUGUGGGAAACUCCGCAUUCUUUCAACCCUCAACACUUUCUGGACAGGGACGGUAAAUUUCGCAAGAGAGACGCCUUCCUUCCAUUUUCUGCAGGUAAGCGUGUGUGUCUUGGAGAACAGCUGGCCCGGAUGGAGUUAUUUUUGUUUUUCACCUCCAUCCUUCAAAGGUUCUCUCUGUCACCACCUGCUGGAGAGCAGCCCAGUCUCAGUUUCAGUUGGGAGGCACACACCGUCCCAAACCUUACCGCCUCUGUGCUGUAACACGUUAAUCCAUCAACUAUCUUAACUUGAUGGUGUCUUUUUCUCGGGACAAUGAAUUACUGUCUUCCAUCAGCUCCUCCAGGGGGACACCAGAAAGUUGUAAAAAAUUCAGGAGAAAAGGAUAAAUUAUAUUAUUUCACCACA
Long non-coding RNA from Archocentrus centrarchus (flier cichlid), 943 nucleotides. RefSeq lists it as uncharacterized. The record is from RefSeq and is a predicted model, not a curated record. Lineage: Eukaryota; Metazoa; Chordata; Actinopteri; Cichliformes; Cichlidae. The transcript is spliced from 5 exons.